GAUGAACGCUGGCGGCAUGCCUAAUACAUGCAAGCCGAACGAGAGGAAGGAAAGCUUGCUUUUCUGAAUCUAGUGGCGAACGGGUGAGUAACACGUAGGUAACCUGCCCAUGUGCCCGGGAUAACUUCUGGAAACGGAUGCUAAAACCGGAUAGGUAGCAGACAAGCAUUUGACUGCUAUUAAAGUGGCUCAGGCCAUGAACAUGGAUGGACCUGCGGUGCAUUAGCUAGUUGGUGAGGUAACGGCCCACCAAGGCGACGAUGCAUAGCCGGCCUGAGAGGGCGGACGGCCACAUUGGGACUGAGACACGGCCCAAACUCCUACGGGAGGCAGCAGUAGGGAAUUUUCGUCAAUGGGGGGAACCUUGAACGAGCAAUGCCGCGUGAGUGAGGAAGGUCUUCGGAUCGUAAAGCUCUGUUGUAAGAGAAAAACGACAUUCAUAGGGAAUGAUGAGUGAGUGAUGGUAUCUUACCAGAAAGUCACGGCUAACUACGUGCCAGCAGCCGCCGUAA
Molecule: ribosomal RNA, 512 nt
Filed under: uncultured bacterium
Lineage: Bacteria
Description: partial 16S ribosomal RNA
Rfam family: Bacterial small subunit ribosomal RNA
Source: RNAcentral